AUUCCAGCUCCAAUAGCGUAUAUUAAAGUUGUUGCAGUUAAAAAGCUCGUAGUUGGACAUGUGCAGUCUCUAGCUGUCCAUAUUGCUUGGUACGGUCUAGGGGGUGCAUCCUUGGGUGGAAUCUGCGUGGCAUUAGGUUGUCGUGCAGAAGAUGCCCAUCGUUUACUGUGAAAAAAUUAGAGUGUUCAAAGCAGGCUUACGCCGUUGAAUAUAUUAGCAUGGAAUAAUAAGAUAGGACUUUUGUGCUAUUUUGUUGGUUUGCGCACUGAGGUAAUGAUUAACAGGGACAGUUGGGGGUAUUCGUAUUCCAUUGUCAGAGGUGAAAUUCUUGGAUUUCUGGAAGACGAACUACUGCGAAAGCAUUUACCAAGGAUGUUUUC
RNAcentral lists this ribosomal RNA (380 nucleotides) under Surirella ovalis. RNAcentral's name for it is "bacterial SSU rRNA". It matches the Rfam family "Eukaryotic small subunit ribosomal RNA", at positions 582 to 971 of the family's 1831-position model. Lineage: Eukaryota; Bacillariophyta; Bacillariophyceae; Surirellales; Surirellaceae. The record is from RNAcentral.